CUGUGUGUGUCUGUGGAUGGUGGCCUGAUCCACAUUGCGAAAGUGGGGAAAGUGAACAGAGUGCUUACUCAUUGGUAAAUACGGACAUCAGGAACUGAAGCGGUAGCCCAGAUAGGAAGAUGUUUUGAGAAUCAUGUUAGCUCAGGGAAAAGGGAUGAGAUAUUUGUAAAAUUUUAUUUCUAGCAAAGUCAGCAACAUCAGCUACUUCCAGCAUUCAAAUUGUUGGGAGUGGAAUCAAGGCAAAAUUCUCACUUACAUGCUGGGUUUGCACAGGACUAGUCUCUUCUGAUAGCCAUGUUGAGUUCCUGGUGAGAAGAGAGGAAGAUAGGUAACAGUCUAUUAAAAGUUAGCAACACUUAGAACAGACUUUUAUUGCAUUUUUUUAGAAAGUGUAUGUUACUUUUAAAGAAAUAGAUUCAAGAAUAUUCUUCUC
RNAcentral lists this long non-coding RNA (433 nucleotides) under Bos taurus (domestic cattle). RNAcentral's name for it is "long non-coding RNA NONBTAT025812". Lineage: Eukaryota; Metazoa; Chordata; Mammalia; Artiodactyla; Bovidae. The record is from RNAcentral.